CCAGCCCAGAGAGGAGUUGGCCUGACAGUUUGUGCAGGGGCAUUUUGGCUGUGAGGGAGGGACAAGCUGCCAGUAAAGGAUGAUGUUGUUAACUGUACCUCCUUGACCAAGCAGGCAGAGGCGGUGAAGAAAGGCAAGAAGCGAGGCAAGGGCGGAGGUGCACGUUAGUGCAGCCCAGAGCAGAGGCAGCCGAGCGGAAAAAAUGGCUCACCCAGGAUACAAAAACAAGAAAGGGUUUGAGGCCGUGGAGAGAGAGAGAGAGAGAAAAAAAAAUCCCCUUCGUCUCUACGUUUGACGCAAGCAUUACCACAGGAACAAAUGGAGAGCGCUUGAAACAAGAUUACAGCCAUUGACCUUGGCAACUGUUUGAAAUCCCCAAACCAAUGGUCAAGAAGACUCUGAAAACAAAAAUGCCGGAUAUCACAGCAGGUCCGGCAGCAUCCAUGGAGAGAAAGCAAGCUAACAUUUUGAUGCCUCUUCAUCUGACUUGGUCAGACAUAGCAAGCACCAUUUAAGCUGCUAUUAGACCUGCGGAGAUUUUCCAGGACUUUGAGUUUUUAUUCGAGAUAUCCAAUACCUGCGUAAGGGACUACUGCCCAAAAAAAAAUCACUGACCAACUGUCUAAAAUAGAAGCAGGUGGAACAGCAAGAUGUUAAAGGACGACCAAAUCUGAGAAGGAACUUUGAUACCAACUUCCAAUUGGCUGAGCAUCUGCAGCAGGGGAGGUGGAGAAAUACCUUGAGGGAUUGUGGUGUGGAACUAUUUAACAGAUGAAGGAAUUGUCAGAGACCUGACAAAUUGCACCAAAAGCAAAAGACAACACCCAAGGAACACAAACACAGAAGGUUACUUAAAUCUCUAAAUUGAAGAUGAUAUAGCACCAACGGGACUGGCGGCAUAAUGAUUUAAAUAUUAAUCAUUUAAACUCUGCAAUUACUGGUAUCGGACAUUUUAACCAGCCUGGCUACUCGAGCGUAUCUGACAUCAAACCUGCUGCUUAGAAAAUUCUUGAGCUACCACUGCUGGAAAAGUAAACUUACACAAAUUACCCCCAUGUUACAAGCUAAAAGCACUUGUGGUUUUAAAAUGUUGUCCAGCAUUUUGUAAUUGAGACAACACUUUGCACAAAAUGCAACAAUGUUUUCAUAAUAUGAAGCCUUUAAAAUAUGGUAAACACAUGCCAAACUUCUGUUGACUCAUGAAAACUUAUGUACCAAAAUAUUUGCGUAGGGUCUCAAAUAUUUUUGCAAGUUGUCUGCCACCUUUGCAUUAGAACCUACCUCAAAAGCUUUAUUUAAUUUUAAUAUUUACAAUAAUGAAUAUGAGAAUUGAGGAAUUUCACAAGGUAAUUGCUCAAAUAAUUUAAAACUUUACUGUAGAUUUGUUCUAGUGAGGCGGCUACUGGAAUUCAAAUAAAAGUGAAUGUUGUGGAGAAUAUAGUGUAUUUGUUGUUAAUGAUGUAAAGCUCCAUAAUGGACCUGGGGACGCAUUAUUCAACAAUUUAUGUAGCAGUUUGCAAUUCAAGAUAAAAUCAUUACAGCUUAAUCAACUAAACAAGCAAAUAAUAUUUUAAAGGGAUAUGAACAGAAUACCAGGCCAUAAUAAUUAAGCUCAAAAGUUCUACAUAGACAUUGAACCUUGAUGUUUAAUGGAAUCAAUUGAACCAUCUCAUUUUAUGCCAAGCAGCAGAAUCAACAGGUUUCAAUAAUUUAUUAUACUUGUUAUCUAGGCACUUGCAGAAACAAAUAUA
Molecule: long non-coding RNA, 1751 nt
Organism: Rhincodon typus (whale shark)
Lineage: Eukaryota; Metazoa; Chordata; Chondrichthyes; Orectolobiformes; Rhincodontidae
Exons: 5
Source: RefSeq, a predicted model, not a curated record